Molecule: ribosomal RNA, 466 nt
Filed under: uncultured bacterium
Lineage: Bacteria
Description: partial 16S ribosomal RNA
Rfam family: Bacterial small subunit ribosomal RNA
Source: RNAcentral
GAUGAACGCUGGCGGCGUGCUUAACACAUGCAAGUCGAACGAUGAAGCCCAGCUUGCUGGGUGGGUUAGUGGCGAACGGGUGAGUAACACGUGAGUAACCUGCCCUUAACUCUGGGAUAAGCCUGGGAAACUGGGUCUAAUACCGGAUAGGAGCGUCCACCGCAUGGGGGGUGGUGGGAAGAUUUGUCGGUUUUGGAUGGACUCGCGGCCUAUCAGCUUGUUGGUGGGGUAGUGGCUCACCAAGGCGACGACGGGUAGCCGGCCUGAGAGGGUGACCGGCCACACUGGGACUGAGACACGGCCCAGACUCCUACGGGAGGCAGCAGUGGGGAAUAUUGCACAAUGGGCGCAAGCCUGAUGCAGCGACGCCGCGUGAGGGAUGACGGCCUUCGGGUUGUAAACCUCUUUCAGUAGGGAAGAAGCGAAAGUGACGGUACCUGCAGAAGAAGCACCGGCUAACUACGUG